RNAcentral lists this unclassified non-coding RNA (3107 nucleotides) under Diabrotica virgifera virgifera (western corn rootworm). Its description in RNAcentral is "52 kDa repressor of the inhibitor of the protein kinase-like". Lineage: Eukaryota; Metazoa; Arthropoda; Insecta; Coleoptera; Chrysomelidae. The record is from RNAcentral.
UGCCUGUUGCUGUUGCUGUGCUGUUGGUGUUGCUAGUGUUGCUGUUGUUUUGUUUGUUAGGUUAGGUUAGCGUAAGCAUGUUGUUUUGUUUGUUGCUUUUUUUGAUAUUAUUUUGAUUACAUAUUUUUGAACUUGCAGAAUAUUUUUAUUGUUUCUGUAUCAGCGAUGGAAUUUAAAGUUGAAAUUAAGAAAGAAGUUGAAGAGUAUGGCCAAAAUGAUAUACAACCUUACACAUCAAUAUAUCUGGAAGAAUUUAAAAUUCAACCAGUGGAAGAUUACCCAGUUAUGGACAAGAGAAAACGGCUUAGCGGAAAUGGUAAAAAAGUACCAGAAAACAUAGAAGUUAAAACAUGUCUGAUGACUAUCCCAAAAAUUAAUUCAUUUUUCACUACAAGAAGUAAUGAUCAUGAUGAAGCUGGUGGAUCCAGUUCUGCUAACACAGAAACUCCGUUGGCAAAACCACUAGAAAAUGUUAAUGCAGAAACAACUGAAGACUCUCCCAGUGCAACGUUAACACCACCUGAAGAUUUUUUUGUAUCUACCGAUCCUGCUGAUUGGACAAAAGAUGACAGAACAAUAGAAUAUUUAAUUAUGAAUCCUCCACAACAGGACCUGAAUAUUGACUUUUCAAGUUCCGCCAUUAGAGGUUCGACUGGAACGAACAGAUCCCUAACAAGGAAUAUUUUUUUCAGAAAAAUGUUGAACGGUGAAAUGAAGUUAAGGAAUUGGCUACUUUAUUCUAUAUCGAAGAAGAGUUUAUUUUGUAUUCCUUGCUGUCUAUUUCAGGCGCAACCGAAUUCUUUCACUACAGGUUUUAAAGACUGGAAGAAUGCUGCCGCCAGAUUAAAAAAACAUGAAGAAUCAAAGUAUCACACCGCAAAUGUCUUGAGUUUAUUCAAUCGAGGUAAAUUAAAAAACAGAAUAGACUGUUCCAUAACAAGUACGUUCAGAAGCGAAGUACAAUACUGGCGCAACGUUUUGCAACGUGUUGUUGCAACAAUAAUUACACUGACCACAAGGGGACUUGCCAUUAGCGGAGAUAAUUCAGUUAUAGGAUCAGUUGAAAACGACAACAUUUUAGGUUGUUUAGAACUCAUAGCAGAAUUUGAUCCUUUUUUACGCGAGCACCUUACUAAAUUUGGAAAUAUUGGCCAGGGGAACUGUAAUUAUCUGUCAAACACUAUAUGCGAGGAACUAAUAGUUUUGAUGGGAAGAAAAGUAAGAAGAACGAUUGUUGGCGAAUUAAAGCAAGAAAAAUACUAUUCUAUAAUAGUUGAUUCGACACCAAACGUGUCUCAUGUUGAUCAGCUAGCAUUUUUAGUUCGCUAUGUUUCUGGUGAUGGUAUGCCGACUGAAAGAUUUAUUAAAUAUAUUCCAUCUGAUGGUCACAACUCUGCUGCUUUGGAAUCGACAGUGAUUUCAACUAUAGAGGAAUGUACCAUUGAUUUAAGUGAUUGUCGCGGCCAGUCAUAUGAUAACGCAUCGAAUAUGUCUGGCAAAUAUUCAGGACUGCAGGCCAGAAUAAAAAAUCACAAUAAACUUGCUGAGUGCGUACCUUGCUCUGGACAUUCUCUCAAUUUAGUAGGAUCUUUAGCAGCAGAAUUCUGUCUGAACGCCACUUCCUUUUUCAUUUUUGUACAAGAAUUAUAUACAUUUUUCUCGGCUACCACAUAUAGAUGGAAAAUUUUGACUGACAACUUAAAAUCACCUGUUGUGAAAUCUCAUAGUGAAACUAGGUGGUCUGCAAGGGCGGACGCAACUAAAGCGUUAUACACUGACUUCAGCGAAAUAAAAAGUGCGCUUUUUAAUAUCUCUAACGACGAAUGUCAAACUGCAGCUGUGAAACAUCAAGCACUUUCUAUAUUUGAAAAAAUGGACACUUUUGAAAUGGCUUUAUUAGCUGUCAUUUGGCAACAUAUUUUAGAAAGAGUGAACCUUUCCAACGAGUAUGUCCAGAGUCCUGCAAUGGAUCUGGGAUCUGUCGUUAAAGAGUAUGAAGCUCUUUUAAAUUACUUUACCUCAAUCAGAAAUAAUUUUGCCAUUUAUGAAGAGGAAGCCAAAAAAUUAUGCCCAAAUAAAACAUAUAAAGAAAUAAGAAAGAGAAAAAGAAAAAUUCAAUUUGACGAGGGUGCCGAUGAUGAACUAAACUUUUCAGCUAGUAAUGAGAUGAAAAUCCACACAUUCUAUAUUCUAAUCGACACUCUUAUAAAAGACCUGAAUAUACAUCUGGAAUCUUAUCGACUUAUUUAUCAACGUUUUCGUGUUAUAACAGAUUUGCCAAAAUUAAACAAUGAAGAAAUUAUUAAAGAAGCUGAGAAUCUGAUACAAAUUUAUAAAGACGACCUAGAUACAUCAUUCAGACAUGAAUGCAUUCUCUUAAAGGGUCAAUUGGAUAUCACAAUAAAAUCGCCAAUUGACAUAUUUAAAUAUUUAAAGAACAGUGGAUUAAAAGAUGUUUUUCCUAAUUUUGACAUUGCUUUGCGCAUUUAUUUGUGCAUCCCAGUUGUCAACGUGUCCGCUGAAAGGUCAUUUUCAAAAAUAUCAAAAAUUGAAAAUAAUUUCCGAUCAAGUAUGACGCAAGAACGUCUUAACAAUUUGUCCAUUUUGUCCAUAGAAAGGGACGUAACAAAGGCGAUAAAUUAUGACGACAUUAUAGAUGAUUUUGCCAAAGAAAAAUCAAGAGAGAAUUGUUUGAUAUGAUCGAACUGACAUGACAAUUUUUUUCUGUUAUAUGUACGUCGUAGUUUAAAUCCAUUUUUAGUGUAUUCUUUGUUAGAGGACACUAAAUUGUGGGAACAAACCUUUGAAAUAUUGUGUUGGCAGCAGUGAGUGACAAGUUCCUGUCCUUUGUAAGAAUUGUCAUGUCAUAUGGUGUGACAGUUCAGUGUGGAAGUGAUAGAGAUUCAAAAAAACGCAGGCGGCAAAAACAAAAUAGGAACUACAUAAUAGAGGAAAACAAGAAGAAGGACAAGGACCACACAGGACCAAAGAAAAAAAUAGAUCUGAAGUUGACAGGACACCUGGUUGUGCAUUGCCUUGAGCAAGACGCGCAUAACCAAUAACAUGUACUGGGUAAAUGAUUAAAAAAAUCGAAACCCAAAAAAAAA